Mus musculus (house mouse) is the source of this 296-nucleotide non-coding RNA. The record is from the annotation of a RefSeq genome assembly. Lineage: Eukaryota; Metazoa; Chordata; Mammalia; Rodentia; Muridae.
GAGGUGAAGCUUCUCGAGUCUGGAGGUGGCCUGGUGCAGCCUGGAGGAUCCCUGAAACUCUCCUGUGCAGCCUCAGGAUUCGAUUUUAGUAAAGACUGGAUGAGUUGGGUCCGGCAGGCUACAGGGAAAGGGCUAGAAUGAAUUGGAGAAAUUAAUCCAGGUAGCAGUACGAUAAACUAUACUCCAUCUCUAAAGGAUAAAUUCAUCAUCUCCAGAGACAACGCCAAAAAUACGCUGUACCUGCAAAUGAGCAAAGUGAGAUCUGAGGACACAGCCCUUUAUUACUGUGCAAGACC